RNAcentral lists this long non-coding RNA (513 nucleotides) under Marmota monax (woodchuck). Lineage: Eukaryota; Metazoa; Chordata; Mammalia; Rodentia; Sciuridae. The record is from RNAcentral.
GGCACACCAGGGAGGGGGGAGGCCCCCCACCUCUCCCAGAGCUGUCUGAGCCUAGAUAAGGUCUGAGCCUUUCUUCCCUUCCUGGGAUUCAGUGAGCAAUCCUUUGCCUGCUGACCUAAGCAGGAACCAAGGGUCCACCUGCACUGGCCCGGGAGAUGGCACCUGCCUUUCCUGAGCUGGGGAGGGUGUAGGGGCUGCAGGUGCCAGCCAGGACGGUGAAAGAUGAGACAGGUCUCCACGGCAGCUCAGCCCUGCAGGUGGGGCUUCAGUGGAUCGAAUCCCUUCCUCAGUGGGCUGCAGAUCAGAGGGGAGGUUUGGAGAGCAGGGUGGGAGCCCCAGUCGAGGGACCUGUGGAGGAGGUGGCAGUUAGAGGGAAGUGUGGAUAAAGCUGUGAGCUCUCGGGGUGAGGAAAGGCCUGGACUGCAGGGUGCAUUGCAAGCAGGGUGGAGGCCUCGUGAGGACCAGCCCGGGAACCCAAAAGGCCGUGCAGAUGUGGCCACUGGUGGAGAGCCC